UACGUAGGCAGCAAACGUUGUUCGGAAUUACUGGGCGUAAAGAGUGUGUAGGCGGUUUCGCAAGUUUGGUGUGAAAUCUCCCGGCUUAACUGGGAGGGUGCGCCGAAAACUGCGAGGCUUGAGUACUGGAGAGGAGAGCGGAAUUCCUGGUGUAGCGGUGAAAUGCGCAGAUAUCAGGAGGAACACCGGUGGCGAAGGCGGGUCUCUGGGCCGAUACUGACGCUGAGGAGCGAAAGCGUGGGGAGCGAACAGG
This 253-nucleotide ribosomal RNA is filed under the name uncultured bacterium. RNAcentral's name for it is "partial 16S ribosomal RNA". It matches the Rfam family "Bacterial small subunit ribosomal RNA", at positions 524 to 776 of the family's 1533-position model. The record is from RNAcentral.